Molecule: long non-coding RNA, 398 nt
Organism: Dicentrarchus labrax (European seabass)
Lineage: Eukaryota; Metazoa; Chordata; Actinopteri; Moronidae
Exons: 3
Source: RefSeq, a predicted model, not a curated record
CCCACCCCUAUUUGACUUCAGAAGUCUUUGCGCUCUGCCAAUAAAAACAGGCUGACUCUCACAUCAAGCUCAUACAGCCACUGAGAUCAGCUCCAACAGAAGAAAUCCAAUAUCUGGAAGACUAUGGCAGAAAAUCAGCCAGAGAGUCUUGGUCCAAACAGUGGCACAACCGAGGGGAGAGAGGACUACCUGAGAGACCCAGACUAUUUUAUGGCUUUAGCCUGUCUGUCAGCCAAAAGGAGCAAGACCCAAGCACACAGGUGGGGGCAUGUAUAGUGAACAAGGAGAAUAAGAUAGUUGGCAUUGGUCACAAUGGUAUGCCAGAUGGCUGUGAUGGUGAGCUACCGUGGUCCAGGGAUGCAGUCAACAAGCUUGACAAUAAAUACGUUUAUGGUGAG